UUCGGCUAUCGCUUACAGAUGGGCCCGCGGUGCAUUAGCUAGUUGGUAGGGUAAUGGCCUACCAAGGCAACGAUGCAUAGCCGACCUGAGAGGGUGAUCGGCCACACUGGGACUGAGACACGGCCCAGACUCCUACGGGAGGCAGCAGUAGGGAAUCUUCCGCAAUGGACGAAAGUCUGACGGAGCAACGCCGCGUGUAUGAAGAAGGUUUUCGGAUCGUAAAGUACUGUUGUUAGAGAAGAACAAGGAUAAGAGUAACUGCUUGUCCCUUGACGGUAUCUAACCAGAAAGCCACGGCUAACUACGUGCCAGCAGCCGCGGUAAUACGUAGGUGGCAAGCGUUGUCCGGAUUUAUUGGGCGUAAAGCGCGCGCAGGCGGUCUUUUAAGUCUGAUGUGAAAGCCCCCGGCUUAACCGGGGAGGGUCAUUGGAAACUGGAAGACUGGAGUGCAGAAGAGGAGAGUGGAAUUCCACGUGUAGCGGUGAAAUGCGUAGAUAUGUGGAGGAACACCAGUGGCGAAGGCGACUCUCUGGUCUGUAACUGACGCUGAGGCGCGAAAGCGUGGGGAGC
RNAcentral lists this ribosomal RNA (570 nucleotides) under Listeria monocytogenes. RNAcentral's name for it is "bacterial SSU rRNA". It matches the Rfam family "Bacterial small subunit ribosomal RNA", at positions 207 to 769 of the family's 1533-position model. Lineage: Bacteria; Bacillati; Bacillota; Bacilli; Caryophanales; Listeriaceae. The record is from RNAcentral.